Sciurus carolinensis (gray squirrel) is the source of this 992-nucleotide long non-coding RNA. RefSeq lists it as uncharacterized. The transcript is spliced from 4 exons. Lineage: Eukaryota; Metazoa; Chordata; Mammalia; Rodentia; Sciuridae. The record is from RefSeq and is a predicted model, not a curated record.
CUACGCAGUGUGCGGCCACGACAACCUUUCCCCUACUUCCUCCCUAUCUCCUGAGCGGACCUCAGACCUCGGACCGCUGGGGGGCUGACUGGGGAUCCAAUCCAAGGCCUCACAUGGGCUAGGCAAGUGCUCUACCACUGAGCUAUAUCCCUGGCCCCUGGCCUCGCACUAUGGCUUUGGGCUAAUUUUCAAUCUCAAACUUCCUUGAAGAGUUGUACAAAUAUCAUGAAAUACUAGGACAGAUUUUUGUUGUUGUUGUUUCAGUACCUUCCUCUCUGUAACCAAAGGCAGCUCUGCAGACAUUAUGACAUUUGUGACCCAGUUUUGGCAAAGAAUUAAGUACAAGAGAAUCAGAUUGUAAUGAUCUUGGAGAUGUGCCCCUCAGAUUCCCUAUCCAGCUACUGUGGACGCUGUCAGGAGACAGUCUUCAGGUGGUGACCUCUUCUGGGAUUGCUUUAGCCGUGGAGAAAUGCUGCACCUAAGGUUAUAGCAAAUAAAGCACAAGUCCCUAUUACAUACCGCACUGCAACAUCAAAAUGCACAGAUUGUCCUACUGGAAAAGUUCUACUGUAAGGAAAAAUGCAGCUCAGCACGGGACCCACGGUGGCUCCAGCCCUUCCGACGGAACUGGUGCUCCGCAUGCCCAGUCUCAGUUGUGGCUCAACAAUAGCUCCCAGAAAAUCCACAACAGACACAGGACCUCACACAAGAGACUUUAUUAUGCAGACGACUAGCGUGUCCACUCCGGGGGUUGGAAAAGAAGGGAAAAAGAGAGAUGGCUUUGACGCUUCUCCCGGAUAUGGGAAUCUCCCAGGCUAGAAGGAACCAAUAGUGGAGGAGAAUACUUGCAAGUUGACUGAUGAACCAAUAGCUAGCUAGCAUGUUCAGACUGACAAGCUAGGAUGUAACGUGGGAAGCAGGAAAUGGCUGUAGCCUAGGCCGGAAAUUCCUGCAAUGUAAGGGGCGGGCAGAGCAACUUUCAGACUGGCAAG